This is a long non-coding RNA of Nycticebus coucang (slow loris), 12885 nucleotides long. RefSeq lists it as uncharacterized. The transcript is spliced from 3 exons. The record is from RefSeq and is a predicted model, not a curated record. NCBI's taxonomy places the organism in Eukaryota, Metazoa, Chordata, Mammalia, Primates, Lorisidae.
GCGCCCCCUUUGUUUCAAGCUGUGCACGCCCACCCGCUGCGUGGGACCUUAAAAACCCCCUGCUCCAGAGCUCGGGGCUCCUGGCUCGGAUCCGUUGCAACGGAGUCCCCUGGGAGCCAAGUUCAAACUUGCAAUAAAUGGCCCUUUUGCUUUUGCAUCAGACUCGGCUCCCUGGUGAUCUUUGUGGGGGAUUUCGAGAUCUGUGCACAACAUUUAGUGCAUUGGCUGGGAAGUCCCUCAAGACACCCUGAGGACCCCGACCCGCAGGGCCGCUACAUGGGGCCACGCGAGAAAAAAAGCCAAGCGAGCGCAUGGGGUGGGUGGCGACGUUGGCCACCCACCCGACCCGUCUUGAAACACAGACCAAGAAGUCUAACACGUGCGUGAGUCAGGGACUCGCAUGAAAGCCACGGCAGGGGAUUGUCCCCCGGCCGGCGACCGGCCACCACCGGGCGCAUUUCCACUGGCUCCAGGACGGCUGAAAAGGCCCAGCGGGGAAGGUAGCUGGGGGCCCCCCUGCCCUUCGUGGGGCGGGCCUGCCUCCCAAGUGUUACAGCCCCCAGACAGCAGCACUGGCGGAAUCCCAAGGGACAUGAUGAUGGCACUGGUUAUUUUACCAAGGCUUUGGCUGGAACAGCAAUUCCAGAGGUGUCCAGACUGCAUUAAAGAAUUCAGGUUGACUUUAUAAGGCCAAUUAAGAAAAGCCCUUUGGAAAACUGGCCAGAUACCCAUCAGUAACAUUUCCUGAUCUGUGGUAAGUAACAAAGGUCCGGAAAUCAAAAUGUGCUUGGGAACCUCAAGAGAAGAGGGAUUUACCCAAUGCAUACAGGUAUCUAACAGCACAGAUGAAACCUGGGCUCUGAAAGGCUUUCAAAAAGUCCAGCCUGAGAUUCCUUAUAAAAGGUUCCAGCAAAGCCAAAUUUAAAAGAAAAAGAGCCUAAAUGGCUAAUAAUUAAUUAUUCUUACUGCACUUUAUGCAAAUAAUCAGACCCUGUAUAUUAAAGGUACAGUUUAUUUUGGCAAAUAAGUUAGUUCUACUAUAAUUUGCCUUUAGUAAAGAGAGAAAUAAGAGAGAGAGAAACAGUUUAAAAGGAGGAAAAAGAGGCCGUGGUCUGGUCCACCUGUAUUUAGAUCCCAGCCUUGUCUGUACUCAUAAAAUGAGACAUAACUGUUUUACUAAGUUGAUCUAUUAAAUGAGACUAAGAGACUGGCCAAAAAGUAUAGAAUUAUAUGUAAUAGUUAUAUUUACUCUGAAACCUUAAGACUCAACAAAGGUCACCUGUUGGCUACACUGGAAAACUUGUGCAGUAUUAAAUGUUAUCUAAAAUUUCCCAGAAAAUAAUGUAACUGUAAACACUGCAUUCUACUCUGCUGAAUCUGUUGCCAGCAGAAGCCAAAUGGCCCACUUGUCUGAACUUAGAAGAGGCCUUUUUCAGUAUAAGGCUGGCUCUGGGAAGCCAGAAGCUGUUUGCAUUCCAGUGAGAGAGACCAGACAUAGAAACAGUACACAUGGACCAGGUUGCCACAGGGGUUCAAAACACCUACAAUUUUUGAAAAAACGCUGGCUCGUGACCUCCAGAAAUUCCUGGCUGAGGAAUCAGAAUGUGUGCUGUUCCAAUAUGUCGAUGACCUCCUUUCAGGACACCCUACCCAGGAAGGCUGCGCCUGAGGCAUGGACUGUCUUUUAUGACAUCUAGAGAUAUGUGGCUAUAAAGUGUCUAAGUGGAAGGCCCAGGUCUGCCAGCAGCAAGUACAUUAUCUAAGAUUUACUAUUCAGCAAGGGGAAAAAAAUCUAGGCAUGGAACGAAGGCAGGUCAUUAAUCGCCUCCCCACCUCCAAGAGCCGAAAGCAGGUUCGGGAAUUCGUAGGCCCAGUCGGCUUCUGUCGUCUUUAGAUCCCCAACUUUGCCGUCUUAGCUAAGCCCUUGUAUGAGGCAACUAAAAGAGAAGAGGGAGAGCCCUUGGAGUGGGAAGGAAAAUAGGAACAUGCCUUCUCCCAGCUAAAGAUGAGGCUGAUGGCUGCACCUGCAUUGGGACUGCCAAACUUGACCAAGCCCUUUACUCUGUAUGUCUCAGAGAGAGAUAAAAUGGCUGUGGGUGUGUUAACCCAGCUGAUUAAGUCCUGGCCAAGGCCUGUAGCCUACCUCUCUAAGCAGUUAGAUAAAGUGGCAAAAGGAUGGCCACCCUGUUUACGGGCUCUAGCUGCUACUGCUCUCCUUGUGCAAGAAAAUAAUAAGCUGACUCUGGGCAGGAUCUCAGAGUGAAAGUACCCCACUCUGUGGUCAAUUUAAUGGACACUAAGGGACAUUUUUGGCUCUCUAAUGCGACACUCUGAACCAAGCCAUGCUCCUUCCAGUCAGUGGAAGAGAGACUGAGCAUAACUGUACAGAAAUUAUGGAUAAUGUAUACUCUAGCAGACCUGACUUGCGUGACCAACCCUGGACAGAUGCAGACUAGAACUUGUAUGUAGAUGGAAGCAGUUACAUGACCGCGCAAGGUGAGCGGUGGGCUGGGUAUGCAGUGGUCACCUUAACAGAGACUGUGGAGGGUAAGCCCCUCCUUCAAGGGACAUUGACUCAGAAGGCUGAGUUAAUUGCCUGAGUUAACUAAAUCAAGGGGAAAAUUUGAAUGCUUUUCUGACUCUUCAAAUACACAGGACAUUGUACAAGGAGAAGGGACUAUUAAAUUCUGAAAGAAAAAAAAAGGACAUUAAAUAUCAGCAGGAGAUAACUUCCGUUGUUAGAGGCAGUAUGGAAACCCCAGAAAGUGGCUGUUAUGCACUGUCAUGGACAUCAAAGAAAUGCUUCCACCAUCGCUAAAGGGAACACCAGAGCCAAUACUGAGGCAAAAAGGGCUGCCUCCCAGCCAUACCAGGUGUCACCAGUGGCUCCCCUCAUCCCUUGGGUCCCAAAGCUCACCCCUAUCUACUCCCGGAAGGAGAAGGAAUGGUUAGCAGCAGAGGGGAACCAGGAAGCAGAGGGAGGAUGAACGAAAAUGCCAGAUGCACGAGUAGCAGUUCCCCAGAUUCUAAGAGCCACCGUAGUGACAGGAGUGUUUGAUGAAGUUGCUGGGCCAGUACUUCUACAUCUCCUACCUGGCAGCCCUGGCCAAAACUGUCAGUCUACAGUGUGUCACCUGCAGGCAGUUCAACGUGUGCCAAGGACCAAUGGUACCACCAGGAAUUCAGUUGUAUGGAGCAACACCCUUCGAAAACUUCCAGAUCAAGGGACCAAAUUUAGGUCUGGAAUCAGAACAUGGUCCCCCUCAAACCAAGGUAAAAAAGACUUUACACCAUCAUCUUGACCACACGCACGGCAGUAAAGAUGAAAAUAAAUCUUCACCUGGAGUCAUCACAGCUAGCUGAAUAAAGCUUCACUGCCCCUUGAGAAGUAAAGGUAACUUUUAAGACAUCCAACAUGCCCUGCUCCAGCCACAUACUGGGAGCUGGUUGGUCAACACACGGCUGAAGCCUGAGGAAACUCCUCGAGGAACUUGCCUUAAUUGAACUUUGGACUUUAAAAAAAAAAAAAAGAGGUUUGUGCGCUGCUCUAAGUGAAAAAUGCUGUUUUUACACUGAUCACUCAGGAAUAAUGAAAGAAUCAAUGGUCCUUGUGCGGGAGAGCUUGCACAAGCGUAAAGUAGAAAGAGGAAAUAAUCAGAGCUGGUCUCUGAUGGCUAACAACUCUGAUAUCAGCCCUGGCUGGUCCCCUAGUGUUAUUACUUCUACUCCUGACUGUGGGCCCUUGCAUUAUCAAUAGGCUCAUCACUUUUGUACAGGACCGUGUAAGAGCCGUACAACUUCUGGUCUUAAAAGGCCAAUAUCGGCCCCUUUCAUACAGAAAGCUAGAGCUGACACACACGGUACCGGACCCAUGAUUGGGUCCUUGAAUUUACAAGUAGAGGGGGGAAUGAAAGAACCAGACCAGCGCCACUUAAAAGUUAAGUUUCGCUCCCCCUGCCAUUUCACUCAGUAAGUUUACUUUCCAGACAAGCCCAGGCAAGCCUAGGCAAUUCCCCGAAAUCAUGAGACAACCGCCCACCAAUCAGGGACCCCCCACCUAACCAAUCCAGAAGCACCCCCUUUGUUUCAAGCUGUGCACACCCACCCGCUGAGCGGGACCAGAAGAACCCCCUGCUCCAGAGCUCAGGGUUCCUGGCUCAGACCCCUUGCAACGGAUUCCCCCGGGAGCCCAAGUUCGAACUUGCUUUUGCAUCGGACUCGGCUCCCUGGUGGUCUUUGUGGGGGAUUUCGAGAUCUGGGCACAACAGGAUACCAUGGAGGGGCGCGGUCUUCCCUGAGGCCCAGGGUAUAACUGCGGGCGGCGGAAGACUUAGGUCGGGAGAAAGAGAAUAUCCUGAGGACCCAGCGGCUCCGGUGGUGGUGGCCUGGCCAGCCUCCUGGGCGCUGAGGUGGCCGGGAAGGAUCAGAGGGAGAGAGGCCUGAAAGGAAGAGUACACCACGUAAUAGGUGGGAGGAGAAUGACAGGGGAUUGGCACAGGUCUCGAAUGUGGGAAAGUCGUGCCCGAGGUCCUGGACAUCAGCGGUCCGCCCCUUAGGCGACAGCUCACCACCCAGUAGGGAAAGAAACUCCCAGAAAGGCAGCGAGAGCAAGAGCGGCACCGACUGCACCUGGCCCGACAGGCAGGCCCGGAACCCGCCAAUCCUGGGCCAACCCCGCCCCGCGCUGCGUAUUUCCGGUGGCGCUGGGACGUCCAGCUGCUGUUGCUAUAGUUGCGAGGGCGGGACUCCGGUGGCUUUUGUUCAGGGUACGGUUCGUUGGGGCGGGUUCGCUGGGACCCUUCUGGCCAGUCCCGGUCCAUUAUCUGGUCUUCACCUUCAUCCCGCUGGGCUUCCCUAGCUCUCCCCAGCCAAGAUCUUCAGGACUAGACCGAAAACUGGCCGAGUAGUUGGAUUUUCCUCUGAGGCUGAUGGCGCUUGAGUCUCCAGCCUGCAGAUGGCAGUGUUGUACCGUGGGGGGGGGCCAUCCUUGCCACCCCCGCCCUUCGUGCUUGAAAAAACUCUGCGGUGUCGUUUCAGAGAGAAAAGGCCUUUUUGUCCUCAUUUCUGGGCCGGUUGAGUCCUGCAUUUUGACAGGUCGCCCUCGGAAGGGGGUGGGGGCGGGCGGGAGGUGGGUCCCUGGCUAAAAUUCAGCGCCAGAGCACAAAGGCCUUUUGCUUUUCAAACUGGCUUUCCCGCCCACCCCCACCCCCACCCCCACCCCCGCGGUCUCUUAGCAACCUUUAUUCUGCUUCUCUGAAUGGUCUUGUCGUUCUUUUCCCCAGCUUGUGGGGGUGGAGGGGGGUGGGGUUGGGGGGAGGGAGGGUGUUAUGGGCCUUUAUCAAUAUAGUCUUUCAUUAUGGACGUCAUUCAACCUCAUUGUAGGAAAUUUGGUGCAUAGAUAAAGUAUAAUGAAGAAAACUAAUCUGAUCUACGGCCCCACACCCAGAGGUGACCAUUAAUUAUAUUUUGUGUUGAAUUUCCUUGGAGCGUUUUGCGUCCAAAAGGUGCAUUGUAUAAGUGAUGAGAUUCGCGUUUGCAUGAUUGCUUUUAAUUUUCUUAAACUACUCUUAAUUAGGGUAUUACUCUCUCCCAAGAAUUAUUUGAAAAAGAGUUGAAAAUAUUUUAUUCUUUUUUGUUCUGUAGUCCAGUUGGGUAAGAAUUUGUUGUCUUCUUCAAACAAUAUGUAAUUUAUACAGGUAAUAAAAAUUCUUUAAUGAUUGAGAUAGAAAUCAGAAUUACCGUUCUCUAUGUGAAAGGUUUAUUUCAUAGGGUAGUUUUUCUAAGUAUAGGAGGUACAUUUUUUUCUUCACCAUUGUAUUUUUAGCACACCAUCAGAACAUGUCUUGUCAAUAUAGAUAUUUGUUUGCAUAAAAGUACAAGUAAUUGAUUUUUUUCCAGGUGUUUUUCUUUCUAUAUGUUUCAUUUAACAAUACUUCAUAUUGUUUGAUCAGUUUUCUACAUGGCUUAUUUUAUCUUUCCAUUUAGUAGUUUAGUGUGUAAUGACUGUUAAUUACCAUUAAAAAAUUUUUAUGUUGGCCCGGUGCCCAUAGCUCUUUUUCAUACCCUGUUCAUCAUUUAUAUUUUAUAUUAAAAUAAUUUUCUUAUUGAUUUUAAUAAUUGUCUAUGCAAAAAUUAAUUUUUUUUGAGACAGUCUCACUCUGUCAUCCUGGGUAGAGUACCAUGGCAUCAUACUCACAGCAACCUCAAACUCUUGGGCUUGAGCAGUCUUCUUGCCACAGCCUCCCAAGUAGCUGAGACUACAGGUGCCCACCACAAUGCCAGCUAGGUUUUCUAUUUUAAGUGGAGAUGGGGGGGCGGGUGUCUCAUUCUUGCUCAGGCAGGUCUUAAACUCCUGAGUUCAAGCGAACCACCAACCUUGGCUAGGAUUACAGGCGUGAUCCACUUUUAUGUACAUUGCAAAUACUCUGUUUUUUUUUUUUUUCUUUUUCAUUAUGUUUGUGGUUUUCAGAUGCAUAGAUAAUGUCAUUUUUAUAUAACCAAAUCUGUCAGUCUUUUUUUGCAUUGCUUCACUCUUUGGUACAAAGCUGAAAUGGUCUUCCUGAUCUACCUGUCCUGUUUCUUGUGUUUAUCCCUAUUCUUUGUUUUUCCAGUCUUCUGUCUGAACUCCCCACUAAAAUGCCUUAAAGACACACAACAAAUUAAAUUUCACAAUAUCUAGGUAGUUGGGAUUGUCCCUAAACUACCUGGCAGAAUCUCAGAGGAUUUUCUACUUCGUAUAAGACUGAUUCUCCUAGGACCCUAAAAUGUAUUUGUUCCUAUGACUAUGGACUUGAAAUUUAAAACACUUAGAUGGUCUCUUAUAAUCUUAUCACCGAAUUUAGGUUUCAGCUUUCUCUUACCAGAAACGUUCCACUACACAUUCUGAUCAAUAAGUCACGCAGGCAUGAACAUUUUAAAACUCCAUUUGUAAAGGCAGAGAUGGAAGUUGUGGAAAGAGAUCUCUUCUUCAGAAUGGAUGGGAAAGAGUAAGAGUUCUUGGGGAGGGGCAGGUUAAGAGAUGAUUUUGCUAUCAAAAAUGAGGAGAGGGUGUGGAUUAGAGUAGUACCUUCCAUAUACCAGAAUUGUUCUACCAUUUCCACACUAAAGGCCAUUUCAAUUUUGCACAGAAGACCUGCAUGAAAUCCACUUAAUUUUCUCUGUCUUCUAGCAACCGUAUUUCUUUGUCCCCACAGAGAGGGAGGACUGCUCCUUAAAUCCUGUCUAGUGGGUAUGGGAGUUUAUAAAACCUGCUGAGAUAUUUUCAUAUAUUCACUCAAUUAUUUUUCCCUUAGCUACAAAGGUAAUUCUUUUCUAUUGUAGUCAUUUUGGAAUACAAAGAAAAGAACAAAGAAAAAAGUAGUCAUCCUUAACCCAAGUACUCACAGACAACCAUUUUCAACAUGUUUUGCUGAUCACCUUCAUUUUUACAGAUGUGGUAUUUGAGAUAGUACAGUAUCCAGUAUUGAAUUCUGAAUUUUUUCCUUGACAUUAGGUAAUUAGCAUAUUUUUUUAUUUUUUAAGACAGGCAUGGAACAAGGUUUAUUGAUGAAGAGAAAGAGAGGUUUACAGAGUAAGAAAGUUUACAAAGCAAGAUACAUUCAUCACAGACAGCAAACAGGCUGCUAUUGCCAGGGCAGGUAAGACAAAGAGACAAGGGUUAUGGCCAGUGCUUCUUUUUUAUACUGACUGGGUCAGGCCUGCCACAUGGUUCAGAGGUGAAGUCACCUUGAAACCUAGCCUAUUUUCUUAAAAUUCAAAUUUCCCAAUACUCUAGCAUAGGUAUCUUUCAUAAUAUAUUUAACAAUUCCUACAUUGUUUUGAAAUAUAAAAAAUAAUCCUACCACAAACUUUUUGAAUGAAUCAUUGCCCACAUUUUAGAUAACUUCCUUGCAUGGAUUCUUACAAGUUGACAUAUUGCCAAAUUCCUUUGACCAAGAACAUAUUCAAGCAUUUGCAUCAUUAUAUCCUGAGAUUUUGCAACUGCUUGCUAAGUUGAGGUAAAAAAAAAAUAUGUUUUUGAUGUAAAAUAAUAUUUUUAAUUAUUUGUGAAAUUCAAUAUCCUUUUAUACAUUUAAUAUGCACACAUUUAUUUUUAUAUCUUCCUCAUAUAAAAUGGAUUUACAAGAAUUCAUAAAAGAAGAUCUAGUUAGUCUUCAAUGAAUACUUGAGAAAAUUGGAAAAAGGUGAACAGAGAAUUAUACAAAAUGAAGCUAGAUAGAAGUAAAGUUAAUUCACUAAAUACUGCCUCCUUCCCUUUUUUUUCCUUCCCACAUUUUCUGCUCCCCCCAACCUUGACACAUCACAAUGAUUAGAAAAACAGUUCUCAAAGGACCAUUCUGACAGCUACAGGCAUGAGACUGUACCACAAAUAUAAGCAAGAGGCAAGAAAAAGUGGAAUAAAUUGCCAACCUCUCUAACUGCAAAUGUUGCAGCAGUUACAGAUAAAGAAAACUGCAUCCUGGACAGACCACAGUCAUAUACCCCUUCUAUGUAAACUCUAAUUCUGCUUUAGCUUGGGAGUUACAUGGUCUCAAGUUGCUCCUUAAUGCACAUCGUUGAAUACAAUCUUUAACCUGUAUUUGAGUCGCUUUAUUUUUUUCCCCUGACAAUAUGGUGCCUUGGCUUGGAUAGGUCUGAACAAAGCACAUAGACUCCAUUUUGGGGGACCACUGUCAGGUGGAAAGGCAAGUUCUUCUCCUGAUCAUAUGCUAUGGGGUCUCUUUGUAGCCUGAAGUUUGCAGACUUUGAUUCUUAGAAACUAGUUAACUUACUGCCUGACAAUCAUCUUUAGGGUUUCUAUGGCCCAGUGGAGAAUUAGAUGAUGGUUCUAAGAUAGGACAAUCUCCUACUUCUACCACUAGAAACUUUCUUCUUUUUUUUUUUUUUUUGUUAAAUCAUAGCUGUGUACAUUAGUGCAAUCAAGGGGUACAAUGUGCUGGUUUUAUAUACAAUCUGAAAUAUUCUCAUCAAACUGUUCAACGUAGCCUUCAUGGCAUUUUCUUAGUUAUUGUAUGUAGACAUUUGUAUUCUGCCUUUAGUAAGUUUCGCCUGUACCCAUUCUAAGAGGCACCAUAGGUGUGGCCCCACCCAUUAACCUCCCUCCACCCUAACCUCCCCCUCCCUUCCCCUUCCUUGGCCCUUUUGUGCUAUAGUUGGGUUAUAUAUCCUUCAUGUGAAAGCUAUAAUUUAGCUUUACAGUAGGGCUGAAUACAUUGGAUACUUUUUCUUCCAUUCCUGAGAUACUUUGCUAAGAAGAAUAUGUUCCAGCUCCAUCCAUGUAUAGAAACUUUCAAUGUACCUGAGAGAGGAUACCCGAAAAGGUUGAGAUCUAGAACAGGUCUUCUCCAGGAGACCACAAGGAUACACCUGCAGGGUCCUCUCCUUGGUGACACAGCUCUUGGGAAUUUGUAAACUUAACUUCCUGAAACUUGGAAAUUUCCAAGUUCUGUGAAAUCCUGUAGUUCUGUAGGGGCUGGAAUAGCAUCUCCCGCUAGAUUCAAACUGACCAAUGAGAAGGGUACCUAUGGAUUGGAACUUUUUGACUGUCGAUAAAAAGGGAAAGACCAAGCCAGUUAGGGAGCAUGGCCAUUUGGAAUUCUUUUAUGCCAUAAGCUCCUGGUUGGUGAAUAAAGCCCUUCCUCUUAUAAACGUGGUUUUUGGGUGCUCUUUCUCUCCAUUGGGCCUCGUCUUCCUGCAACAUACCCAAUCAGGGGGGACCCCCACUCUGGGCAAAUGUUUGGCCACUAGGGUCCUGUUCAACUUCUAUUUAAUUGGAGUGACUUCAGGAAAGACUAUCUUGAAUCUUGACAGAGUCCCUUUGAGGCUUUGGGGACAUGACAAAACUUGUCAAUUGGCUUUGCCCCUUAGACCAAAAAGAAUGUAAAAAUAACUUGCUCUCUUCCAUAGGCAGUGGCAGCAAUUGCUUAUUUGGCAUCGUGGGUGCCCUCAGACCCCUUGUGAAGCCCAAGAUUAUCAAAAAGAGAACCAAGAAGUUCAUCUAGCACCAAUAUGUCAAAAUGAAGCUUAACUGCAGGAAACCCAGGGGCUCCUAUUGUCAAUAGACAAUAGGGUUUGGAGAAGAUUCAAGAGCCAGAUCUUGAUGCCCAACAUUGGUUAUAGGAUCAACAAGAAAACAAAGCAUAUGCUGCCCAGUGGUUUCUUAAAGUUCCUUGUCCACAAUGUCAAGGAGCUAGAAGUACUGCUGAUGUGCAACAAAUCUUGCUGUGCAGAGACUGCUCGUGUUUCCUCCAAGAACUGCAAAGUCCUUGUGGAAAGAGCUGGCCAUCAGAGUCACCAAUCCCAAUGCAGGCUGUGCAGGAAAGAAAAUGAAUAGACCAUUCAUAUGCAUAUUUUACUGGUAUUUAAAUAAAACUAUAAAACUGCAAUAAAAUUAAAUAAAAAUAACUAACUUAAAAAAUAGCUAGUUGGGCGGCGCCUGUGGCUCAAGGAGUAGGGCGCCGGUCCCACAUGCCAGAGGUGGUAGGUUCAAACCUAGCCCCGGCCAAAAAAAAAAAUAGCUAACUUAUAAUAGGCUACUUUCUUGACUUUCAUUAAUUGGUAGACAGAAAUCUGGAACCCUCCAAGAAAAGAAACAAUCCAGGCAGAUUUAAACCUGGGGAGGUCUCUUUGAAACAACAUCAGCCUUCUCCCUACAACAAACUCUUCUCCUCAGUCUAACUCUGCUUCUGCCUCUUACAACCCUUGAAGCACAUCAGCUGGAUAAAGCCUUUAAAUUCUAUCUGAAUCACUUUAAUAGUACUUUUUCUGACAAGUUCUACCAACAAUUUGAUCCCAAUUUCCUAGCAGCCAAUGAAAGGGUUUACAUGUAGAUGACCACUUGCAUAACCAUAGUCCCCAUCAGGCCAAAACUAAGUAGCAGUUUUCUCACCAAGAUUUCUAUGAUGAAUGAGGAGAAUAGUACAUGUAAAGGUCUUAGUAAAGUAUCUGAUGCAUAGUAUAUAUUCAAUACAUUUUAGCCAUAUGAUUUUGACAAAUAUUUAUAAGACUAUAGUAGCCAGGGCGGCGCCUGUGGCUCAAGGAGUAGGGUGCCGGUCCCAUAUGCCGGAGGUGGUGGGUUCAAACCCAGCCCUGGCCAAAAAUCACAAAAAAAAAAAAAAAAAAAAAAAAGACUAUAGUAGCCAAAACAGUGUGGUGCUGGCAUAAAGACAGAAACAGACCAACAAAUAUUCAACAAAAUAGAGCCUCAAAAUAAACUCUUACAUAUAUCAUUAAAGGAUCUUUAGCAAGGGUGCCAAGACCACUCAAAAGGGAAAGAAACACACAAGAGCACAAGCUCUGAAAUCAUGUUAGAGCCAGUAAAUACUUUCCACUCCAUCUUUUAAAAUGCAAACAAAGGGUGUCUGUACCAAAAUAAUACAACCUAAGAUGCCAUUAGGAAACAAAUAUAGGAAAAUUUAUGAUUUGUUAUUUGGAAAAGCUGUAUCAAGAAAAACUUGGUAAAUUGAAAAAAAGGACUCAGAUUUCUAGAAAGUUUGGAUUUCAGUGAUGUUGCAGUACAUACACUUAUAAAACUAGGAAGGGUGCAGGCUAGUCUAUUUUAAUACGACAGUGAAAAUAUAUUACCAUAAAAAAGAUAAAAUUUUUUCUUCAAAUAAUGUUUUGAUUAAGUCAAGGACUUCUAUAGUAGCUUGACAGUAUUGGGGACACAAAUUUAUUUUUUUUUUGUUUCAUAUUUUCUUUGUAUUUCUCUUCAAUAGUUGAUUGACCCAACAUCUUUCCGUCGGCUCUAUACAAUGAAAAUACAAACUAAAUGAGAAUAGAAAAAGUAAUUAAAGCAUUGAAUUGUACAAAUUACAAAUCUGUUUCAAAAUAUACUUACAUUAAAUAAAAUACGCAUUUCAUUAAGAGAUCUACAAUGGAUGACUCUAUGCAUUCUGGAAAGCUUCACAACACAUAGGCAGGGCCAACAUUUGUGGAAGAAGCUAAGAGAAUUUGCAUCCAAUCACAGUUUGUAGCGGGUUUCUUAUUGCCAAUCUGCAAGUUACACUGAACACAUCAUUAGCGUCACUAGUGCAGGAAACCAAUUUUGUUUGGGGAAAGGGUAAGCAAGCUCUAGCCUCAAUUUUGAGUUCAUUACAACUUUCAAGAAUUUCACCAACAACCUAUACAGUACAAUUUCAAAAAAGUAAACAUGUUAAGGUAAGCAGACAAUUCUUUAGAAGCCCAGACACAUAUUCUUGCUGUGUUUACAUUGAAUUCUCCAUCUACAAUGGGCAGUAAUGAAGAUGAUCUCCUUAGGACAACAUGGUCACAGGGCUGGAACAAUCCAGAGGGGCUGAGGGAGCCUAAGGAUGGGGAGCGAAGGAGCCACCUCUUGCUGCUUCACGUUGGAGACAAGCUGCGUCCAGUCCGUGGGCCUGCACGCGUCCCCUUCAUCAUCUGGCGUAGCGCUUGAUGUAGUCGUCCACUUUGUUCCUGAAGUCCUCCUUGUCCCACAGGUGAUGCUCUGCAGCCUCAAUGUUGGGUGGGUCAUCAAAAUUCAAAAGAUCAGUAAACAAAGAGUUUAAUCCCCAAACAACAUCCUUCAGUGUUCAUGUGGGAGCCCAGGCAGUGCCAUCGAUCCAGUACUCUCAGUAAACUUAGGCAAAUUUCACCUGUCUCUGUGAUAUUGGGGUGCCAGAUCCUGGUCAAGCAUUUCAACUUGGGAGGCACCAUGUUCUAUGCAUGGGGGACUUCAGUUUCAAACUGAAACUUUCCAACCUGGUAGUAACCCUCAUCUGGGCACCCGCAGACAGGCGAGGCGGCCCGGCGCCCAACACCAUGCCCGGCCCGGGGGGCGGCAGAGAGACGCGGCCACAGCCACACCGGCACCAAGCGGUGGGACCGGAAGUGGCAGGCGGGGACUCGGCCGCUCUCGCCUGCUUG